UACGAAGGGGGCUAGCGUUGCUCGGAAUCACUGGGCGUAAAGCGCACGUAGGCGGGUCUCUAAGUCAGGGGUGAAAUCCUGGAGCUCAACUCCAGAACUGCCUUUGAUACUGGCGAUCUCGAGUCCGGGAGAGGUGAGUGGAACUGCGAGUGUAGAGGUGAAAUUCGUAGAUAUUCGCAAGAACACCAGUGGCGAAGGCGGCUCACUGGCCCGGUACUGACGCUGAGGUGCGAAAGCGUGGGGAGCAAACAGG
Molecule: ribosomal RNA, 253 nt
Filed under: uncultured bacterium
Lineage: Bacteria
Description: partial 16S ribosomal RNA
Rfam family: Bacterial small subunit ribosomal RNA
Source: RNAcentral